This is a non-coding RNA of Dermacentor andersoni, 72 nucleotides long. The record is from the annotation of a RefSeq genome assembly. Lineage: Eukaryota; Metazoa; Arthropoda; Arachnida; Ixodida; Ixodidae.
GCCGCUAUAGCUCAGUGGUAGAGCAUUGGUCUCGUAAACCAGGGGUCGGGAGUUCAAACUUCACUGGUGGCA